CAACAUAGUUCCCAUCGUUCAAUGGGGGAAAAUCAGAGAAAAAAGGAAUAAGAAGAAAAUUUUGAUUCUAUGAAAACUCGGCAAGAGUUUAUAAGCCCCGAAGUCGUGCGUUGAACAAACUUCGCGGAUGGAUUAAUCCUUGAGUCCAGAACCACCAAAUCAGGAACGAAACCUGAGACUUUUGGACUGCUAGCGCAUCAUCCCCCGUACCACAACGACCCUUGCCCGGAUAGAAAACGCUGCGAGAGGGGGGAGAUUGAGGCUAUUUUUUGUGCCUAUCCGAACAAAUCGGCUGGAGUUAGCAUCCCUUGCUAAAUUGCCAGUUCUCACUUGAUAAUCCUCUCCUUUUACAUUCGUUCUACAUGUAGAGCAAUUAUUCCGAGUCUCUCAUGAAGCGACAACCCCGAUCCCUUGUGAAACAGUCGGAGAAAGGCCCUGGCUUAGCGGGCUCUAUAUUCACAUCCGGAGCCAGUAUUUCGGCCAUUACUGAAAUAUCAUAGCUGAAUCGGAUGAACAAACCGUGUGCAUAUUGGUUUCAGCCAAUUAUGCCAAACAUUGGAUGCGGAUUCUUGCUGCUAAAUGCUGGCCGAUCAUAGCUGUCGAGAUGAAAUGUUUCCUUCAAUCUGUUCAGCCAAAUGCCGGCCGACUGAAACUUAGGAGAAAUCAAAGUCUGUUUGCAAUUAUGGUUGUAUGCUACCUAUUUACUGAUUUUACUUCCUACCUUCAUGGUUAUCUUCAUGACACUUUUGGCGGCUAAAAAUGAAGCUACAGCUAGAAACGUUCUGCCUUUUUAGU
Molecule: long non-coding RNA, 795 nt
Filed under: Bemisia tabaci
Lineage: Eukaryota; Metazoa; Arthropoda; Insecta; Hemiptera; Aleyrodidae
Description: lncRNA ENSSSA2NGG002362
Source: RNAcentral